AUGUGAACCUGCAGACUGCAGAGGGCUGUGCUGAGCUCUAGAACACAUGCCACACACGGAGGGCACAGGAACCAUAUUGCCCCCUCCUUGCUCCUGGAGCACCAAACAGAGGAGACACUGGUUCUGGCCAGCACCAGAACUGGCCUCUCCCGGGAUCCCUGAGCGCUGGCCUCUUCCUGGGGGUUGGAAAUCUAGUGCUGAGAAUGUCAACCUGCAAGAGUGUGUGUCCUGCUCUCAGGACCCUGGAGACAAGAAAAGGUAAGGGGCUUGCCCCAGACAGGAUGUCCAGGAAGACUUCUCUGAGGAGGGGUCGUUUGCCUCAAGACCUGACCAAUGAGGAGGAGAUGCCAAGAGACCUGGGGAGAGAGCCUUCCAGGCAGAGUUGCAGGUCGGACACGGGCGAAGAGUCAGAGCGGACUCCUGCACUGCCAGCCUGGGUACUGACUGAAGGGGAAGUUGAGGCUCGCUUGUGCCCCAGCCGGGGGAGACCGUAUGAGGGCCAGCCGCAGAUUCCCCCGGCUCGGAGCUGCAGCUUAUUUUCUUCUAACGGAGCGUGACUUCGACGUCAGACUCCCAUUCCACCAACGGCAGAAGGCAUCAGCACCUCUUUCAAGUCUGACUUUAUCGCUGCCUGGGGUGGCAUCCAAAUGCCACGGGGGCACGUGGGUCCUGGCUGUGUCCGGCUGUGUGUGCCGCAGACCUGAGUCCCUCUGGUCUUCUGCCAUCAGUCCACACCCCUUCUGCCUCCGAGACCCCCAGGUCCACCAGCUCUCGCUGCUGCCUGCAUGUGUGGGAGACAUUCCCCUGCACCCUGCUUCCUAGGCCCUGAGAACUUCUGCUUCAAGCUCCCCUUGGUACCUGGGUUCACUGACAGACUCUUUUAUGCUGCAACGUGGCCCAUGGGACCUGCGACCCCGACGGGGCUGCUCCACCCCGUUGCACCCCCCUGCAGACACGAGGCUUUGGCCCCACCGCACUGGGCCGGGCAGUCCUGAGUCUUCUUGGUUUCUGACCAGGGACCAGGAGCUAUGUCUCUGACUGAUACGAAGAACCAAUUCCUUCUUCACUCAAAUAGCAUCUAUUGUGAAGUGAAAGUCACCCACCCCCCCACCUUUGUACAGCGCAUAGAACUCUGAUGAUGGUCAGUUUUGUGUGUCAACUUGGAUGGGUCAAGAUAUUUGGUCCAACAUUAUUCGGGAUAUUUCUGUGAAAUUGUUUGUUGGAUGAGAUUCAUAUUAAAAUCUGUGGACUUGGAGUAAAGCAGAUUACUCUCCCUAAUGUGGGUGGCGUCCUCCAAUUAGUUAAAGGCUGUAAUAAAUCAAAGAUGGACCUCCCCAGGCAAGAGGGGCUCUGCCAACAGACAGCCUUUGGGAACAGAGACUCUUCCCCGAGUCUCCCGCUGCCAGCAUACCCUCCAGAUUUUGGACUUGCAACCUCCACAAAUAGUAUGAGACAAUUUUUUAAAAAUAAAUCACUCCCUCCUUUUCUCUCUCUCCAUGCCAUUGGUUCCAUUUGUCUGGAGAACCCUGCCUAAUACGCCUCUGAUAGACUAAGGAUUUGGUUUAAUACUCCCUUCUGGAGGCAAAGCACAUGGACUUCUACAUGGGUGGAUGGGUGGAAACUCGUUCCACUUUAGGGCACUCCAAACAUUUCAUGGGUUGGAUUAUGCUGGGGCGACUCUGCAUGGAAGCAUCUCUUGGGGAAGUCCAUCUUGCAGAUGGAACAUGGCAUUCCCUCCAGGCACAAUGGUUUGACUUUUGAAUGCCCUAUGUGUGCUUACUCAGCCAAGAGAAGCCUCAAGCCAUCUGAGUCCACCGCCUCUCCAGGACCUCAGGGGGCUCUAGGAUUUGGCACCACAUCCUAGAGUUGCUGGGCGACUGUGGGACCAAUGCCGCCAUAGGUAUCCCCUGGGAAAGGCCUCUUUGGGAUUCAGGUCCCCGUCUUUGCGUCCUGGAGCUUGAGCCAUGUUGGACCUCUAGACAUGCUGGCCAGGAGGGUCCACCUCACUCAAAGCUCAAUACCACUGCUGACCCUGCACACUACAUACAUGCAGUGUAUUUGUAAGCUUUCUGGGCUUUCCAGGCUUCUCCACAUCAACUGCUCCCUUCUCUUGGGAGCCUCUUACAGCUUCCUCUUGAGAACACAGUGCUUUUUUUCUCCUUCUGUCUCCAGUCUCCAGCACGAGGCUGAGAAGGUGAUACAUAAUUCAUAUUUAUUAUAUAAAUGAAUGAAUAUUCCUGGUCCUGUCCUAUGGCCAAAGAAGCAAGUUUAUCACAAGCCGGAA
Canis lupus familiaris (dog) is the source of this 2284-nucleotide long non-coding RNA. RefSeq lists it as uncharacterized. The transcript is spliced from 5 exons. Lineage: Eukaryota; Metazoa; Chordata; Mammalia; Carnivora; Canidae. The record is from RefSeq and is a predicted model, not a curated record.